Molecule: ribosomal RNA, 699 nt
Filed under: uncultured bacterium
Lineage: Bacteria
Description: bacterial SSU rRNA
Rfam family: Bacterial small subunit ribosomal RNA
Source: RNAcentral
AGUCGAGGGGCAGCGAGGGAGUGGCAACACUUCUGUCGGCGACCGGCGCACGGGUGAGUAACGCGUAUGCAACCUGCCCUUCACAGGGGGAUAACCGGGAGAAAUUCCGACUAAUACCGCAUACGUCCUCCGGGGGCAUCCUUGGGGGAUGAAAGAGUUAUCGGUGAAGGAUGGGCAUGCGUGAUAUUAGGUAGUUGGCGGGGCAACGGCCCACCAAGCCCACGAUAUCUAGGGGUUCUGAGAGGAAGGUCCCCCACAUUGGUACUGAGACACGGACCAAACUCCUACGGGAGGCAGCAGUGAGGAAUAUUGGUCAAUGGACGAGAGUCUGAACCAGCCAAGUCGCGUGAAGGAAGACGGGUCUAUGGUUUGUAAACUUCUUUAGUGCGGGAACAAAGCGGCGUCGAGACGCCUGAUGAGUGUACCGCAAGAAUAAGCAUCGGCUAACUCCGUGCCAGCAGCCGCGGUAAUACGGAGGAUGCGAGCGUUAUCCGGAUUUAUUGGGUUUAAAGGGAGCGCAGGCUGCGAGGCAAGUCAGCGGUCAAAUGUCGGGGCUCAACCCCGGCCUGCCGUUGAAACUGUCCUGCUAGAGUUCGAGUGAGGUAUGCGGAAUGCGUUGUGUAGCGGUGAAAUGCAUAGAUAUGACGCAGAACUCCGAUUGCGAAGGCAGCAUACCAACUCGCGACUGACGCUGAGGGC